This 468-nucleotide ribosomal RNA is filed under the name uncultured bacterium. Its description in RNAcentral is "partial 16S ribosomal RNA". It matches the Rfam family "Bacterial small subunit ribosomal RNA", at positions 28 to 507 of the family's 1533-position model. The record is from RNAcentral.
GACGAACGCUGGCGGCGUGCUUAACACAUGCAAGUCGAACGGAAAGGCCCUGCUUUUGUGGGGUGCUCGAGUGGCGAACGGGUGAGUAACACGUGAGUAACCUGCCCUUGACUUUGGGAUAACUUCAGGAAACUGGGGCUAAUACCGGAUAGGAGCUCCUGCUGCAUGGUGGGGGUUGGAAAGUUUCGGCGGUUGGGGAUGGACUCGCGGCUCAUCAGCUUGUUGGUGGGGUAGUGGCUUACCAAGGCUUUGACGGGUAGCCGGCCUGAGAGGGUGACCGACCACAUUGGGACUGAGAUACGGCGCAGACGCCUACGGGAGGCAGCAGGGGGGAAUAUUGCACAAUGGGCGGAAGCGUGAGGCAGAAACGCCGCGUGCGGGAUGACGGCCUUCGGGUUGUAAACAGCUUUCGCCUGUGACGAAGCGUGAGUGACGGUAAUGGGUAAAGAAGCACCGGCUAACUACGUG